UUUACGGAGAGUUUGAUCCUGGCUCAGGAUGAACGCUGGCGGCGUGCCUAACACAUGCAAGUCGAACGGGAACCCUUGGAUUCGUCUGGGGGUGAGAGUGGCGAACGGGUGAGUAACACGUAGGUGACCUGCCCCAAAGGGGGGAAUAACUGCUGGAAACGGUGGCUAAUACCCCAUGUGCUCGGUGGUUCGGUCCAUCGAGUAAAGCCCUUCGGGACGCUUUGGGAGGGGCCUGCGGCCCAUCAGGUAGUUGGUAGGGUAAUGGCCUACCAAGCCGAUGACGGGUAGGGGGCGUGAGAGCGUGACCCCCCACACUGGCACUGAGAUACGGGCCAGACUCCUACGGGAGGCAGCAGUGAGGAAUAUUGCACAAUGGACGCAAGUCUGAUGCAGCAACGCCGCGUGCGCGAUGAAGGCCUUCGGGUCGU
RNAcentral lists this ribosomal RNA (428 nucleotides) under Anaerolineaceae bacterium. RNAcentral describes it as "bacterial SSU rRNA". It matches the Rfam family "Bacterial small subunit ribosomal RNA", at positions 1 to 426 of the family's 1533-position model. The record is from RNAcentral. Lineage: Bacteria; Bacillati; Chloroflexota; Anaerolineae; Anaerolineales; Anaerolineaceae.